GGGCAGAUGGGSGAGAGGUGAGUAGGUGGGAUGUACCAUGGUASGGAUAACCAGGGAAUUGGAUAAUACGUAUGUGCCUUCGGGGGAAGAUUAUCGCAUUGGAUCAACCGCGUCGGAUUAGCUAGUUGGUGAGGUAAAGGCUCACCAAGGCGACGAUCCGUAGCUGGUCUGAGAGGAUGAUCAGCCACACUGGGACUGAGAMACGGCCCAGACUCCUACGGGAGGGCAGCAGUUGGGVAUAUUKGGVCAAUGGGCGCAAGCUKUAUCCA
RNAcentral lists this ribosomal RNA (269 nucleotides) under Xanthobacter sp. S7-19. Its description in RNAcentral is "partial 16S ribosomal RNA". It matches the Rfam family "Bacterial small subunit ribosomal RNA", at positions 89 to 390 of the family's 1533-position model. Lineage: Bacteria; Pseudomonadati; Pseudomonadota; Alphaproteobacteria; Hyphomicrobiales; Xanthobacteraceae. The record is from RNAcentral.